GGGCUUGUAGCUCAGCGGCAGAGCGGUCGGCUCAUAACCGAUUGGUCCCAGGUUCGAUCCCUGGCAAGCCCA
Molecule: transfer RNA, 72 nt
Filed under: Geodia barretti
Lineage: Eukaryota; Metazoa; Porifera; Demospongiae; Tetractinellida; Geodiidae
Also listed under: 2 other names
Rfam family: tRNA
About the family: Transfer RNA (tRNA) molecules are approximately 80 nucleotides in length. Their secondary structure includes four short double-helical elements and three loops (D, anti-codon, and T loops).
Source: Rfam by way of RNAcentral